This 117-nucleotide ribosomal RNA is filed under the name Rarobacter faecitabidus. The record is from RNAcentral. Lineage: Bacteria; Bacillati; Actinomycetota; Actinomycetes; Micrococcales; Rarobacteraceae.
UACGGCGGCCAUAGCGAAGGGGAAACGCCCGGACCCAUACCGAACCCGGAAGCUAAGCCCUUCAGCGCCGAUGGUACUGCCCCCGCCAGGGGGUGGGAGAGCAGGACACCGCCGAAC